This 468-nucleotide ribosomal RNA is filed under the name uncultured bacterium. Its description in RNAcentral is "partial 16S ribosomal RNA". It matches the Rfam family "Bacterial small subunit ribosomal RNA", at positions 28 to 507 of the family's 1533-position model. The record is from RNAcentral.
GACGAACGCUGGCGGCGUGCUUAACACAUGCAAGUCGAACGGAAAGGCCCUGCUUUUGUGGGGUGCUCGGGUGGCGAACGGGUGAGUAACACGUGAGUAACCUGCCCUUGACUUUGGGAUAACUUCAGGAAACUGGGGCUAAUACCGGAUAGGAGCUCCUGCUGCAUGGUGGGGGUUGGAAAGUUUCGGCGGUUGGGGAUGGACUCGCGGCUUAUCAGCUUGUUGGUGGGGUAGUGGCUUACCAAGGCUUUGACGGGUAGCCGGCCUGAGAGGGUGACCGGCCACAUUGGGACUGAGAUACGGCCCAGACUCCUACGGGAGGCAGCAGUGGGGAAUAUUGCACAAUGGGCGGAAGCCUGAUACAGCAACGCCGCGUGCGGGAUGACGGCCUUCGGGUUGUAAACCGCUUUCGCCUGUGACGAAGCGUGAGUGACGGUAAUGGGUAAAGAAGCACCGGCUAACUACGUG